ACUGCUCAGUAACACGUGGACAACCUACCCUAUGGAGGGGGAUAAUCCCGGGAAACUGGGGAUAAUACCCCAUAGACUAUGGAUGCUGGAAUGCUCUGUAGUUAAAAGGUCCGCCGCCAUAGGAUGGGUCUGCGGCCGAUUAGGUUGUUGUUGGGGUAACGGCCCAACAAGCCUGUAAUCGGUACGGGUUGUGGGAGCAAGAGCCCGGAGAUGGAUUCUGAGACACGAAUCCAGGCCCUACGGGGCGCAGCAGGCGCGAAAACUUUACAAUGCGGGAAACCGUGAUAGGGGAACUCUGAGUGCCCGUAAAAUCGGGCUGUCCAUCAGUUUAAAUAACUGGUGAAGAAAGGGCCGGGCAAGACCGGUGCCAGCCGCCGCGGUAAUACCGGCGGCUCGAGUGGUGGCCACUAUUACUGGGCUUAAAGCGUUCGUAGCUGGCUUGUUAAGUCCCUGGGGAAAUCUUCCGGCUCAACCGGAAGGCGUCUCAGGGAUACUGGCAGGCUAGGGACCGGGAGAGGUGAGGGGUACUCCAGGGGUAGGAGUGAAAUCCUGUAAUCCUUGGGGGACCACCUGUGGCGAAGGCGCCUCACCAGAACGGCUCCGACAGUGAGGGACGAAAGCUGGGGGAGCAAACCGGAUUAGAUACCCGGGUAGUCCCAGCUGUAAACGAUGCACGUUAGGUGUAUCGGUGACCACGAGUCACUGAGGUGCCGAAGAGAAAUCGUGAAACGUGCCGCCUGGGAAGUACGGUCGCAAGGCUGAAACUUAAAGGAAUUGGCGGGGGAGCAC
This 789-nucleotide ribosomal RNA is filed under the name uncultured archaeon. RNAcentral describes it as "bacterial SSU rRNA". It matches the Rfam family "Archaeal small subunit ribosomal RNA", at positions 85 to 879 of the family's 1478-position model. The record is from RNAcentral.